RNAcentral lists this ribosomal RNA (606 nucleotides) under Nocardia ignorata. RNAcentral describes it as "bacterial SSU rRNA". It matches the Rfam family "Bacterial small subunit ribosomal RNA", at positions 46 to 669 of the family's 1533-position model. Lineage: Bacteria; Bacillati; Actinomycetota; Actinomycetes; Mycobacteriales; Nocardiaceae. The record is from RNAcentral.
GCUUAACACAUGCAAGUCGAGCGGUAAGGCCCUUCGGGGUACACGAGCGGCGAACGGGUGAGUAACACGUGGGUGAUCUGCCUUGCACUUCGGGAUAAGCCUGGGAAACUGGGUCUAAUACCGGAUAUGACCUCGGGAUGCAUGUUUUGGGGUGGAAAGAUUUAUCGGUGCGAGAUGGGCCCGCGGCCUAUCAGCUUGUUGGUGAGGUAACGGCUCACCAAGGCGACGACGGGUAGCCGACCUGAGAGGGUGACCGGCCACACUGGGACUGAGACACGGCCCAGACUCCUACGGGAGGCAGCAGUGGGGAAUAUUGCACAAUGGGCGAAAGCCUGAUGCAGCGACGCCGCGUGCGGGAUGACGGCCUUCGGGUUGUAAACCGCUUUUGACAGGGACGAAGCGCAAGUGACUGUACCUGUAGAAUAAGGACCGGCCAACUACGUGCCAGCAGCCGCGGUAAUACGUAGGGUCCGAGCGUUGUCCGGAAUUACUGGGCGUAAAGAGCUUGUAGGCGGUUCGUCGCGUCGUUUGUGAAAACUUGGGGCUCAACCUUAAGCUUGCAGGCGAUACGGGCGGACUAGAGUACUUCAGGGGAGACUGGAAUUC